Molecule: ribosomal RNA, 253 nt
Filed under: uncultured bacterium
Lineage: Bacteria
Description: partial 16S ribosomal RNA
Rfam family: Bacterial small subunit ribosomal RNA
Source: RNAcentral
UACGUAGGGUGCAAGCGUUAAUCGGAAUUACUGGGCGUAAAGCGCGCGUAGGCGGUUUAGUCAGUCAGAUGUGAAAGCCCUGGGCUUAACCUGGGAACUGCAUUUGAUACUGCUGAACUGGAGUAUGGUAGAGGGAAGUGGAAUUUCGGGUGUAGCGGUGAAAUGCGUAGAUAUCCGAAGGAACACCAGUGGCGAAGGCGACUUCCUGGACCAAUACUGACGCUGAGGUGCGAAAGCGUGGGUAGCAAACAGG